CCUACGGGCGGCAGCAGUCGAGAAUCAUUCACAAUGGGGGAAACCCUGAUGGUGCGACGCCGCGUGGGGGAAUGAAGGUCUUCGGAUUGUAAACCCCUGUCAUGUGGGAGCAAAUUAAAAAGAUAGUACCACAAGAGGAAGAGACGGCUAACUCUGUGCCAGCGGCCGCGGUAAUACAGAGGUCUCAAGCGUUGUUCGGAAUCACUGGGCGUAAAGCGUGCGUAGGCUGUUUCGUAAGUCGUGUGUGAAAGGCGCGGGCUCAACCCGCGGACGGCACAUGAUACUGCGAGACUAGAGUAAUGGAGGGGGAACCGGAAUUCGCGGUGUAGCAGUGAAAUGCGGAGAUAUCGAGAGGAACACUCGUGGCGAAGGCGGGUUCCUGGACAUUAACUGACGCUGAGGCACGAAGGCCAGGGGAGCGAAAGGGAUUAGAUACCCCAGUAGUC
RNAcentral lists this ribosomal RNA (446 nucleotides) under uncultured bacterium. RNAcentral describes it as "partial 16S ribosomal RNA". It matches the Rfam family "Bacterial small subunit ribosomal RNA", at positions 338 to 795 of the family's 1533-position model. The record is from RNAcentral.